RNAcentral lists this long non-coding RNA (1387 nucleotides) under Citrus maxima (pomelo). RNAcentral describes it as "long non-coding RNA (CMAX_LNC004441)". The record is from RNAcentral. Lineage: Eukaryota; Viridiplantae; Streptophyta; Magnoliopsida; Sapindales; Rutaceae.
CCCAAGUUUAUGUCAUGAUAAUUGUGUGAUUGAUAAGAUAUUUUGGUUUUGGACUUUAUCUCAUGGAUUUAGAGUUCGAUUAUAUUUGGAAGUGGAAUAAUGCAUUCAUUUACAUAUGAUGUUUGAUGAAGUUCCCAUAAAAUUAAUUCAAUUAUAUAUGUUUAUGGUUCUAAGGAAGCGGGGCAAAAAUUUUAUCAGUGGGUUGAUUUCACUAGUUUAAGUUAGUAAAGCAAAGAAAUUGUCUUUAUGCACUUUAACUUUCCUCCAUUUAAGGUGAAAAAAUUAUUGAAGCUUUUAGAAGUGAAUUGUUCAUUUUGUUUGUGCACUUAUGCAGAUGGAUUUACUUUUGGCUGCUUAACCCUUCCUCACUUAUAUUUUUUCAGUUUAAAUUGCAGUGUUUUGCUGCUGUGCAACAGCACAAGAGGCUGUUUUAUUGUUGUUUCUGUAAAAACACAGCACCAGGAAGCGUCCAGGUAAUGUUUCGCUGCUGUUAUGCAGUAAAAACAACACCUGAAAGUUUCUAGGUGCUAUUUUUACUGCUGUUUACGCAGAAACACAGCACCUAAAAGUGUCUCUAGGUUCUGUUUAGCUGCUAUUAUGCAGCAAAAACAGCACCUGGAAACUUCCAAGUGCUGUUUUUAUUGCAUUUUAUGCAGAAACAAAGCACCUAGAAGCAUUCAAGGGUUGCUUUACUGUUGUUUUGUAUUUAAAAUUGCUGUUAGAAAUUUUGGGUGCUAUUUCUCUGAAAUUUUGCUAUUAACAGUGCAGCUUAAUAAUUUCAUAUGUCGUUUUGAACCUUCUUCAGUUCUUUUCUCUUAUGUCUAUACUUAAUCUUUUCCCCCCUGGUAAUAAGCAGGUACAAUUUUUGCAAGGUAAUAUCUAAGCAUGCUGUUAAUUCUUUGGUUGAGACGUAGUAUUCUAAACUUCAGGCCUUAAUUUUUUUAUUUCCAAGUGUAUAAUGGGUAGGUACUGGAUCUCUUAUGGAUGAUGUAGUUAAUGCUUUUUUAUUGUCUCUAUUUUGGCAAAUGUGUUGUCAUUUAUUAUCUGAACACAUGGUUGAUUAACUUACUUGAGGUAAGUCUAUUAAUUAAUAGUGAUAUGAUACUUUAAAGUCUUGUUUUACAACUUAAGUCACUAAAAUGAUUUAAUAUUUAUGAUUUAUAAUAUAUGAAUAUAUCUUAAUUUCUCUUUAUUCUUUGUAAGAAUGAUGUAGAUUGCUGAAGCUGGUGAGAUUCAUUUGCAAUUGAAGACUUGAUGAGAAAUUAGAUGUACUCACACAUGCCAAUCUUGUUGGUUGCUAGUGCAUUCACUAGUAGAAGUUUAAUGAUUGUUGGAGAUUUUUGUAGAGCUAUCUCUUUGUAUAUGAAACAUUUGCAUCAUUUUGNNN